This 483-nucleotide ribosomal RNA is filed under the name uncultured bacterium. RNAcentral describes it as "bacterial SSU rRNA". It matches the Rfam family "Bacterial small subunit ribosomal RNA", at positions 30 to 507 of the family's 1533-position model. The record is from RNAcentral.
AUUGAACGCUGGCGGCAUGCCUUACACAUGCAAGUCGAACGGCAGCACGGGAGCAAUCCUGGUGGCGAGUGGCGAACGGGUGAGUAAUGUAUCGGAACGUACCGUGUAGUGGGGAUAACGUAGCGAAAGUUACGCUAAUACCGCAUACGCACUGAGGUGGAAAGCAGGGGAUCGCAAGACCUUGCGCUAUACGAGCGGCCGAUGUCAGAUUAGCUAGUUGGUAGGGUAAAGGCCUACCAAGGCGACGAUCUGUAACGGGUCUGAGAGGAUGAUCCGCCACACUGGGACUGAGACACGGCCCAGACUCCUACGGGAGGCAGCAGUGGGGAAUUUUGGACAAUGGGCGAAAGCCUGAUCCAGCCAUGCCGCGUGAGUGAAGAAGGCCUUCGGGUUGUAAAGCUCUUUCGGCUGGGAAGAAAUCGCACAGGCUAAUACUCUGUGUGGAUGACGGUACCAGCACAAGAAGCACCGGCUAACUACGUG